This 301-nucleotide ribosomal RNA is filed under the name uncultured bacterium. Its description in RNAcentral is "partial 16S ribosomal RNA". It matches the Rfam family "Bacterial small subunit ribosomal RNA", at positions 509 to 807 of the family's 1533-position model. The record is from RNAcentral.
CAGCCGCCGCGGUAAUACGUAGGUGGCAAGCGUUGUCCGGAAUUAUUGGGCGUAAAGGGCUCGCAGGCGGUUUCUUAAGUCCGAUGUGAAAGCCCCCGGCUCAACCGGGGAGGGUCAUUGGAAACUGGGAAACUUGAGUGCAGAAGAGGAGAGUGGAAUUCCACGUGUAGCGGUGAAAUGCGUAGAGAUGUGGAGGAACACCAGUGGCGAAGGCGACUCUCUGGUCUGUAACUGACGCUGAGGAGCGAAAGCGUGGGGAGCGAACAGGAUUAGAUACCCCCGUAGUCCCUGUCUCUUAUAC